AACUGGGAUUAGAUACCCCACUAUGCCUAGCCGUAAACUUUUAUUUACACCCAAUCGCCAGGGAACUACGAGCUAAGCUUAAAACCCAAAGGACUUGACGGUACCCCAUAUCCCCCUAGAGGAGCCUGUCCUGUAAUCGAUAAUCCACGUUAAACCUCACCAUUUUUAGUUAAUCAGCCUGUAUACCUCCGUCGUCAGCUUACCACGUGAGCGCCAAUUAGUGAGCUUAAUGUUUUUCACCAAUACGUCAGGUCAAGGUGCAGCAAAUAAAGUGGGAAGAGAUGGGCUACACUCUCUAUUUUAGAAAAAACGAAAAACUACCUAUGAAACCUAGUUAGAAGGCGGAUUUAGCAGUAAAAAGGAAUCAGCAUGUCCAUUUUAAUCCGGCACUGGGGUGUGUACACACCGCCCGUCACC
Molecule: ribosomal RNA, 417 nt
Filed under: Duttaphrynus melanostictus (Asian common toad)
Lineage: Eukaryota; Metazoa; Chordata; Amphibia; Anura; Bufonidae
Description: partial 12S ribosomal RNA
Rfam family: Bacterial small subunit ribosomal RNA
Source: RNAcentral